This 253-nucleotide ribosomal RNA is filed under the name uncultured bacterium. RNAcentral describes it as "partial 16S ribosomal RNA". It matches the Rfam family "Bacterial small subunit ribosomal RNA", at positions 524 to 776 of the family's 1533-position model. The record is from RNAcentral.
UACGAAGGGGGCUAGCGUUGCUCGGAAUCACUGGGCGUAAAGGGUGCGUAGGCGGGUCUUUAAGUCAGAGGUGAAAUCCUGGAGCUCAACUCCAGAACUGCCUUUGAUACUGGAGAGCUUGAGUCCGGAAGAGGUGAGUGGAACUCCGAGUGUAGAGGUGAAAUUCGUAGAUAUUCGGAAGAACACCAGUGGCGAAGGCGGCUCACUGGUCCGGUACUGACGCUGAGGUGCGAAAGCGUGGGGAGCAAACAGG